AACGAACGCUGGCGGCAGGCCUAACUCAUGCAAGUCGAGCGAGGACUUCGGUUCUAGCGGCGGACGGGUGAGUAACGCGUGGGAAUGUGCCCUUCUCUACGGAAUAGCCCUGGGAAACUGGGAGUAAUACCGUAUACGCCCUAUUGGGGAAAGAUUUAUCGGAGAAGGAUCAGCCCGCGUUGGAUUAGGUAGUUGGUGGGGUAAUGGCCUACCAAGCCGACGAUCCAUAGCUGGUUUGAGAGGAUGAUCAGCCACACUGGGACUGAGACACGGCCCAGACUCCUACGGGAGGCAGCAGUGGGGAAUCUUAGACAAUGGGGGCAACCCUGAUCGAGCCAUGCCGCGUGAGUGAUGAAGGCCUUAGGGUUGUAAAGCUCUUUCAGCUGGGAAGAUAAUGACGGUACCAGCAGAAGAAGCCCCGGCUAACUCCGUG
RNAcentral lists this ribosomal RNA (433 nucleotides) under uncultured bacterium. RNAcentral describes it as "partial 16S ribosomal RNA". It matches the Rfam family "Bacterial small subunit ribosomal RNA", at positions 29 to 507 of the family's 1533-position model. The record is from RNAcentral.